AAUUUGAAAGCUGGCUCCGGCCCGCGUUGUAAUUUGCAGAGGAUGCUUCUGGCGAGGUGCCUUCCGAGUUCCCUGGAACGGGACGCCAUAGAGGGUGAGAGCCCCGUAUGGAUGGACACCAAACCUGUGUGAAGCUCCUUCAACGAGUCGAGUAGUUUGGGAAUGCUGCUCUAAAUGGGAGGUAAAUCUCUUCUAAAGCUAAAUACCGGCCAGAGACCGAUAGCGCACAAGUAGAGUGAUCGAAAGAUGAAAAGCACCUUGAAAAGGGGGUUAAACAGUACGUGAAAUUGUUGAAAGGGAAGCGCUUGUGACCAGACUUGCGCCGGACAGCUCAUCAGGGGUUCUCCCCUGUGCACUCUGUCCGGCUCAGGCCAGCAUCGGUUCUCGUGGGAGGAUAAGAACGGUAGGAACGUGGCCCCCCUCCGGGGGGGUGUUAUAGCCUGCCGUACGAUACUCCCGUGGGGACCGAGGUUCGCGCUCCGCAAGGAUGCUGGCGUAAUGGUCAUCAGCGACCCG
This 516-nucleotide ribosomal RNA is filed under the name Cytospora chrysosperma. RNAcentral describes it as "Valsa sordida partial large subunit ribosomal RNA". It matches the Rfam family "Eukaryotic large subunit ribosomal RNA", at positions 112 to 651 of the family's 3401-position model. The record is from RNAcentral. Lineage: Eukaryota; Fungi; Ascomycota; Sordariomycetes; Diaporthales; Cytosporaceae.